This is a long non-coding RNA of Patella vulgata (common limpet), 6483 nucleotides long. RefSeq lists it as uncharacterized. The transcript is spliced from 5 exons. The record is from RefSeq and is a predicted model, not a curated record. NCBI's taxonomy places the organism in Eukaryota, Metazoa, Mollusca, Gastropoda, Patellidae.
GUCAUGAUGAACUUUCUCGGCCAAUGCAGGGAUCGAACACCCGACCUCCAGGCUAGCGAGCCAGUGUCUUAACCACCUAGCCACCGUGGCUCCCACAAUGAUGUGGGAUGACUAGAAUCUGAUACUACCAAUAUUAUAGAUCCCUUCAUUUAUGUCUAACGCAUUAUAACCACAAUAUGUGUGACUAACAACACCUACUUCUAUUUAACGCUCGUUAAGAGUUUAUCCCAGUGAUCCUUGGAUAUUGGUUAUGACGAAAAAAAACUGUCAAGGUAUUCACCUAAUAAACACCUACACCAAGUUUGAAGUUUCUAACUUAAUUUGGAGAGUCAUUGUGUUCCAAAGUCUCGACUUAGCCUAAGCAGAAAAUGCUGUCAUCGAAGUCAAGAAUCUGAGGUAGAAUCUAGUUUUGACAUUAUUAAGACCUACCAGAAUGAGAUUUUUAGGUCGUGUCUUUUGCAAAAUAUGGUUCCGGUCACUAAAACCAGACUUGUCAGUUCAACAGAUGACACAAAUUCCACUUAUACAGAAAUGUAGUAGAAGUAUCUUUAGAUCUAUUUCAACCAAAAGUCUUGGUAUACAGAAUGCUGAUCUUCAGACUUCAGACAAAGAAAUAUUGCAACAAGUUGUUCGAUUUCCACUCAGAGUUCCUGAGCUGGCAAGAUCCAGGAAGCUGGCAAGAACGGAAUGGGAUUCGUAGAAAAUGAAUUUUCCAGUGAGAUUAUAUUCAGACAGGAAUUCCAAAGAGCAUUCCCAUUUGCCGUCACGAAAAGGGCUUCAGAUAAGUUGAUAGCUGGAAUUAUAAUUUUUCGUAGCAGUUUUUGUCGUGGAACAAAGGUAGCCGACGCGUUAUGCAUCGUGGAUAAAUCGGAACGGGAAAAGGGGGUCGGAAAUUUUUGUUUGCAGAUUAUGGAGACAUUAACAGCAGACCUAGGAUUCGUGGCAAUAUUUGCAGACUGUUAUAGCAAUAAUAAAGUAAUGCUCCGAUCACUAGGCAGAAUUGGCGGGUAUAUAAGAUGUGGUUAUCUACCCAUAGGAGGGCAAAUGACCGACGGGAUCUACAUAAGCUCAAUUAUAUUUUAUAAAGAUUUACGACAUUCAAUCAAUACUGAACCACGAGUCAGUUGUCAUUGUAUGCUAGAAGACUGCCUACAAAAUUAAAAAUACCAAUGUUCCGUUAAUGAUCGUUUGUUCCUACUUUGGAUUUUAUGCAAUUGAAACUCCUGUUUUGAUCACUGGGGUGCUUUUUUAUAUUUUUUUAAACCCUGACACUGAACGAUUCGUGAUCUUUUUUAAAACUCUUUAUCAGGGACGAUUGGGUCAUAUUUUUUUUAGCUCCUGAUUAUGGUAUCUGAACAGUUUAGACUAUUAUGGCUAUCGGACAAAUCGCCAUGAAUGUUUUCAGUUUGGGAGCAUGCUUAAAACAAGAAAAUAUAUUAGCUAGACGAACUUCUUAAAGGGCGAAAGUGUAUAUAUUUUAGUAUAUAAAAAGAAAUAUAAAGUUGGCGAGCGAACUAUUGUUCAACUGAUGACAAAUUUUAUUAUACACAGGUCACAAUUCUAUGGAAUACAGUUACUGGUUAUUACUGACCGACGUUUCCAGUAGGCUUCUCAAGCUAUUAUAAAAUAUAAACUUUAUAAUACAUGUAAAGCAAUACUUGGUUUACUGCUGACCGACCAGAGAAUCCUAGUUAAAAUAUCCCACAGUAAUAAACAGUAAAUUUCAGACUCGGAGCAGACCUAGUGUAGCCUCCAACCCCGAACAGACAAACAGACAGACAAACGACAGUCACAAAUAUUAGUAUAGAUUAAAGUAUUGUGUAGCUGUAUUCACUCUUUUUAUUAAAGUAUUGUGUAGCUGUAUUAACUCUUUUUAUUAGAGUAUUUUGUAGCUGCGAUGACUCUUUUUAUGUAUUUGUCUUCCGUAAACAUGAACGUACGUGAUUCAAACUGAUUUACAAGGACAGUUCGAGAUAUAUAAUAUUAGUAAAAAAAAAUACUGGUCAAUUCUGUCAGAGAAUAAAGCGGAAUUACGAUGUAACUCUAAUGAUAACCGUGUAACGCUUUCGUUAAUAUGCGUAGUUCUGUACCAAUCUGUUUCACAGAUGAUUACGAAAGUCUUCUAAUAUCUCUGCCUUCAACACGUGACGUCACAUCAAGCGACGUCAAUAAUUGGCUCAAUGGCGCGUGGAUUGUUUACAUAAGACGUUGCUAAAUUGGGCAGAAUGCUGCCUUUUACUCAUUUUAAUACCCAUUAAAUAGGAAAUAGAUUUUACCUACGAAUACUUCAAACUUCUUUUUUUAUUUUUCUAAUACAUAAAAACAAUGUUUUAGAAUUUAAUUUGUUGGAGGAAAAAGGUUAAUAUUUUGGGCUCAUUAAGUCGCAUCGAUGUCAUCCUCAUCAGUGACUGUAGCGGCCUAGCGAAUAUUCACUGCUGAUCAGUGCGGUUCUGUAUAAGUAACGUCUGAUUUACAAAAUUAUACAUUACAUAUGUGAAGAUAGCGAAACAAAGUGUAGAAUUUACGACCAUACAGCAAAUUUCAUCAAAAUCGGAUCAAAAGUGUGACCUCUUGGGGGGCCACAACCUUGAUAUAACAUAUAUUUACACUAUUUGCGUACGAAUGGCGGCCAUUUUGUCUGGCAGUUUUGGUCCGAUUUUCACUAAAUUCGGACUCGGCCAUCAUUACAGUUUAACGGUGAUAUAUUCAAACGUUUUUCUUUUAAACCGGAUAAAAAUUGUUAGCUCUAGAGGGACCACACGCUAAAAACGCGAUUUUUCGUGCAAUCAAGGGCCAUAAUUCAGGAAGUUACUAUCCAAUAUGCGCGAAUAUUGAAAGGAACCAAGAUCUUGGGGUUAUAAACAUGCAUUUCAAGUUUCAUCAAAAUCAGAUUAAACUUGUGACCUCCAGAGUGUUCACAAGCUAAACACGCGGUUUUACGUACAAUCAAGGGACAUACUCCCUGACGUUUCGGUCCGAUACAUGCCAAUAUCGAAAGGAACCGAGAUCUUUUGGAGAUAAACCUAUAUUUCAAGUUUCGUCAAAAUCGAAUAAGAAUUGUGACCCGUAGAGUGUCCACAAACAAAUUGUGGACGGACGGACGUCCGGACGGAAAGGGUUGACGACAAUAUACGUCCACAUGAAAAUGACACAAAUAAUGGCCCAACACGGUCAAACACAAUCAACUAUCGGACCAUUGUGAGUUGAAAGCAAAUGUUUCUAAUAGCUAACUGGGGCUCACAUAUUUGUCUUGUGCAACCUCAGGUAUUUUUCUCACUCAACCUGUACUGAAUCACUUGAAUACUCGCAAUCGGUAGAACAGUCUGAUUCUUCCUAUUCCAUCUCAUGCAACGGGGAUGACACUGUUCUUGCCAGUUAUUUGGUCAUUCAUACGCGCCGGUAAAACUGGGGUUUUGUAUCACCCUAACAAACAUUUUCCAUCCCUUAUUCCUCUCUGUUUUCUAGUAGAGAAGGUGACACGGCCGGGGGUCAUAGUGGAUCAAAAUUUAUGCUUUACAAUUCGCUCUCCGUUGCUUCUGUUCGUAUGACCCUUUAAUUUGUGCUCUUAGUCCUGUGGUGCACAAGUUUUUACAUCACCGAUUCUAUUUUUUUCCAUGGUCUAAUAAACUUAGUUAUUUUGUUGAAUUAGGGAACCAUAUUGGCGUUUCGCUCGGUCAUGGCACAUUUCGCCAUUCAGAUAUGAAUUCGGCGAACCCGAAAAUCUAUAGUUUAAAACAUUACUAAUAUCGUUAUGUCUUGCCAAAUAUGGCCACCAUUUUGAAUAUGAACUUAACCUGGAAUACUUUGUGGUCGGAACAUUUUUUUAUGUUUAUAUCGGAAAUAAAUGACACCGAAAACCUAUAGUUUAAUAUAUUGCACAGCUUUUUGGGGGAUUUUAUGAGUUUCCCCCCAAAAUGAGCCUCCAUUUUGAAUUUGGCCCGCUAGUGGAAUUAGCCAUCUUUUUUAGGAGGAAUACCCAAGUUCGUUGGAUUCAGCUGGUCAAAUUCUGAUGGAAACCACCUCCAUAUCGAGGUCCGAAUUUUACCCCACUAAAUUAAAGUAAAUAACCAGAAAAUGCCUCAUGACGACCAUCUUUAAUAUUUUCAUUGCAGUGUCAACGCAGCAACUUUCGUAAGUUUGCGGUGGCAUUCGUCGUUACUGAAAAGGGAAUUAUAAGGCAAUCCAUAUGAUAUCGAGUAUGGAAUCUGUAUACCCGUUUUAAUGAGUCCGGGGUGGAUGGCCAUAUGGUUAGAGUGUGCGCGCUAUAUCAUAAGGUCUGUUAUAGAGUCAACUGGCGAUGGGUUCGAUUCCCCGGUUGUACGUGACAAGGAGUAGGAUCGCCUCUAACCUCUAGGGUUUUCUCCGGGUCCUCGGGUUUCCUCCCACUGAUAAAGACCCCUACGCGCAAGCGAAUUAUAGAAAUAAAAUUUAACCAUAUUAUGUUAGUCCAGACAUGACCUAGUUUGUGCCGGGAGGACGUUAAACCCCAUUUCCUUCUCUAUCUAUCUCUCUCUCUCUCUCUCUCUCUCUCUCUCUCUCUCUCUGGUUGACAGAGUGUAUAAAAAUCAACAUACACCAUGUAGUCAGUAUUUGCCCAAUAACAGUACGCCUGAAGGACUUUCGUUGUCCAUCGAUGAACUUCAAUGCUUAUUAAUAUAUGCUCGAACCGGCAAUGUCAGAUCAGUCCAGCGGAACGGUACAAACACUUCUUAGAAGAAUGUUAAUGUUAUAGAUAAUUUAAAAGCAUGGUGGUGGUGAGUUGGGUGUUGUUGUCCGAACCAUCAAAAUCCCUUUUAAAUCCACUGCUUGGAUGUAAAAUUACGAAUGUAAGCGCUUAGAUCUACUUUAUUACCUACGAAGGUAGAUUUUAUAUUAAAACAGUGCAAUGUCUUCCGUGAAUUAUGCUGAUACAUCCUAUCACCCCUUUCAUUGAAUGGAAGCCUCCAUUUGAGACCAUUUUUGUUCAUUGGCGAUAAAAAAAUUCUUCACUUCUUAACGUUAUAGGCCUAUGUAUGUGGUAGAGAACUGAGAAUACAAGAUAUUCGGUUUAAAUCUGUGAACUGAGAAAAGUUUGUAGAAGAAAUUUGACAUGGGAUGAACAAAAUUUAAAAUAUAAUCUAGCUUUGGCAUUAUUAAGACGUAUCAGGAUGAAAUUUUUAGGUCAAGUUCUUUGCAAAAUGUGGCCCAAGACACUAAAACCAGGCGUAUUAUCGUUUCCAAGGAUACCGCAAAUGCCAAUUCUACAGAAGUUUAGUAAAAAUAUUCCUAGAUCAAUUUCAACCAAACGUCUUGGUAUACAAAAUGUUGAUUACCAAUCAUCGAACAACGGGAUAUUAAAACAAGCUGUUCGAUUUCCACUCGUUACGACACUUCCCGAUGGCGAGGAAGUAGUCAUUGACGUCAUGACGGAUGGUCAGAUAUCAGAAACAUAUGCGAUGAUCCACGAAGCUGCCGAGAACGGAAUGGGAUUCGGGAUUAAUGAAUAUUCCAGUGAGAAUGUAUUCAGGCGGGAAAUCAAAGCAGGAUUCCCAUUUGCUGUAACUCAAAAAGCUUCAGAUAAAUUGAUGGCUGGAUUCAUAAUUAUUCGUAGCAGUUUUUUCCGUGGAACAAAAGUAGCCGACUCGUUAUGCAUCGUGGAUAAAUCGGAACGGAGAAAGGGGAUCGGGCGUUUUUGUCUGCAGACUGUAGAGACGUUCGCAACAGACCUAGGAUUCGUUGCAAUCUACCUGGACUGUUUUAGCAAUAACAAAGAAGGGAUCCUAUCAAUAGAAAAACAUGGUGGAUAUGUAAGAUGUGGUCAUCUACCCAUGGGAGGACAAUUGAACGACGGGACCUACAUAAGCUCGGUUAUAUUUUAUAAAGACUUACGACAAUCAACCGAUACUGAACCGCGAGUCAGUAGUCAUUGUUUUUUAUAAGACUGUCGUUAUGUUCUGACUUUGGAUUAUUGGCAAUUUAACCUCUCGUCUUGAUCACUGGAGAUUAGGUUGUUAUCAUGUCUUUCGGACCGAUUCCCAUGACUGUUUUCAGCCUUAGCGGAUGCUAAAAGUACAAGGAAAUAUAUUAGCCAAGCGAUCUUCUUAAAUGUUGAAAGUGUGUAUAUUUUAGUAUGUAAAAAGAUAUAUAAUGGUGGUUCGCGAAACUAUUCAACUAUUGUUCAAAUGAUGACACCAUUUUAUUAUGCAUAGGUCACAAUUCUAUUGGAUACAAUUACUCCUUUUCACUGAUCGACGUUUUGACCAGACUUCUCUAGUCUUUGGUGAAAUAUAAAAUUAUUUUACGAUCCAAUGUAUUCAUGUAAAGCAAUACUUGGUUAAUACUGACCAACAAGACACGGCCCUCUAAUAUAAGAAUUCUAGUCAAAACGUCCCUCAGUAAUAACCAAGAACUCUAUUCCAUAGAAUUUUGACCUGUGUAUCCCCACUUUAAUUACUAAAUGCCAUGACACAAUUUAACGUUUUAUUAAAGUAUUAUGUAGCUGUA